GAUGAACGCUGGCGGCGUGCUUAACACAUGCAAGUCGAACGAAGCACUUUAUUUGAUUUCCUUCGGGAUUGAUUAUUUUGUGACUGAGUGGCGGACGGGUGAGUAACGCGUGGGUAACCUGCCUUGUACAGGGGGAUAACAGUUGGAAACGGCUGCUAAUACCGCAUAAGCGCACGGCAUCGCAUGAUGCAGUGUGAAAAACUCCGGUGGUAUAAGAUGGACCCGCGUUGGAUUAGCUAGUUGGUGAGGUAACGGCCCACCAAGGCGACGAUCCAUAGCCGACCUGAGAGGGUGACCGGCCACAUUGGGACUGAGACACGGCCCAAACUCCUACGGGAGGCAGCAGUGGGGAAUAUUGCACAAUGGGCGAAAGCCUGAUGCAGCGACGCCGCGUGAGCGAAGAAGUAUUUCGGUAUGUAAAGCUCUAUCAGCAGGG
RNAcentral lists this ribosomal RNA (436 nucleotides) under uncultured bacterium. Its description in RNAcentral is "bacterial SSU rRNA". It matches the Rfam family "Bacterial small subunit ribosomal RNA", at positions 28 to 444 of the family's 1533-position model. The record is from RNAcentral.